Dermacentor albipictus is the source of this 916-nucleotide long non-coding RNA. RefSeq lists it as uncharacterized. The record is from RefSeq and is a predicted model, not a curated record. Lineage: Eukaryota; Metazoa; Arthropoda; Arachnida; Ixodida; Ixodidae.
CGACCGUUGAAGGUGGGUGUACACGACGCAUGUGAAGCAUAGGCAGGAGCAGCGCCCGACGUAUCUUUUUCGGAAAAUAGCUGCAUACCAAAGGAACUGUGAUUUUUCUGGUCUCGACCUGGAGCGCAUGGUCAAGGAUGUCUUGAGCCACCUGCCCGUAACGUACGCAGAGCACGAACACUGGCCCGAACAGUUCAUUGCCGGUUUUCUGUCGUCUUCAGUCGUCUACACUGGUUUAGAGAAACUCAAACUUUUUGGUCCUCCUGUGCCAUACUGCAAAAACGCAUCGAGGCUCGUACAAUUUGAUUUGGCGACGAGAGGAGAUGAUCAGAUUGGCGCCUGGGCCCGCUGGAAGACAUGAAAUGGUCUGAACGGAACAUUCGGCACCUACACUGGAGCGAGAGUGACCGUAACGUUCGAGGUUGUAAACCCAAGCGAUCCUCGCCGUGGUGCCAACGGCCCAGUCCUUACACAUCACAGCAGUCCAAGGCCUGUUUUCAUUGACAAGAUGGCACUUUUCCUUGAUGGAGCCGGGGACGUCAUGGCUACGGUGACAGCGGUGGUGGGGAAGCUAUUUCCUCAAAUUUCCAAAGAGUUUUGGAUUGAUGUGCUUACAUCAAAAUUGGGAAACAUAUUAUCAAUUGUCUCGAUCCCCUGAGAAUAUGAGCAUCUCUUUACUAUGAGGAUGUCAGAUAGUAAAGCAUCAUCAACCGGUCUUGUUACUCUGAAAUAUAGAAAUAUUGACUCGGGAUGCGGAAGUUCAAUUUAUUUGAUGCCACUUGGGCCAUUCAAGCAUUUUCUUGUGCAAGUGGGCUGAAGUAGUGUUUUUCUGAUGAUUUGGAAGCAGAUUUCUUGAAUUGAGGAAGCUGAGGCUGUGUAGAGAGCCUUUCUGGUUAUUUUGUGACACAUUUGGUGU